GUCACGUGCUAAACAAAUUCAUUGGAACUGGCUGUAGUAAAACUGGUUUCUCCAAGACUUGCUCCUCAUAGAAGUGCCGGUUUCUGCAUCCUUUGAAGCAGAUUUUGGUGGCAAUUUAUGGAUUUUACACAUCAUGGGAGAUGCCAGGCCAUGUUUUUAUCCCGCCAGAAUCCCUGCCAUCCUCUGCAGUGUCAGGACAAGAUAUAAUAGAAGCACUAAGAAUCUGGGAAACAAAUGUUUUAAAACCAACAAGAUCUCCAUAGCAAAAUUGUUUGAAGAGCGGCAUGAUUUAUUUGGAAAACCAGCAGAAUUGGAAAAUUUUUUAUAGGAAGGAGGACAAUUUAUCCAUGGAGCUUAUGAAAAAUUCACUGUCCUUGAUGCCUUGAAAAUUUGCAGAAGUCUGGACCCAAACUGUGUGGGAUGGAAAUGUGAUGGGAAUUUCUGAACUCCAGUACUCCUCAAACCCAUCAAGAUAGCUGGUAAUGUACAACUGGGCUGCACUGAGAAAU
This is a long non-coding RNA of Hirundo rustica (Barn swallow), 509 nucleotides long. RefSeq lists it as uncharacterized. The record is from RefSeq and is a predicted model, not a curated record. The transcript has 3 exons. NCBI's taxonomy places the organism in Eukaryota, Metazoa, Chordata, Aves, Passeriformes, Hirundinidae.